This 477-nucleotide ribosomal RNA is filed under the name uncultured bacterium. RNAcentral's name for it is "bacterial SSU rRNA". It matches the Rfam family "Bacterial small subunit ribosomal RNA", at positions 27 to 518 of the family's 1533-position model. The record is from RNAcentral.
GGACGAACGCUGGCGGCGUGCCUAACACAUGCAAGUCGAACGGAGUUGAGGAGCUUGCUCCUUAACUUAGUGGCGGACGGGUGAGUAACGCGUGAGUAACCUGCCUCUGAGAGGGGAAUAACGUUCUGAAAAGAACGCUAAUACCGCAUGACACAUAUUUGCCGCAUGACAGAUAUGUCAAAGAUUUUUAUCGCUCAGAGAUGGACUCGCGUCCGAUUAGUUAGUUGGUGAGGUAACGGCUCACCAAGACCGCGAUCGGUAGCCGGACUGAGAGGUUGAACGGCCACAUUGGGACUGAGACACGGCCCAGACUCCUACGGGAGGCAGCAGUGGGGGAUAUUGCGCAAUGGGGGCAACCCUGACGCAGCAACGCCGCGUGAAGGAUGAAGGUUUUCGGAUUGUAAACUUCUUUUCUCAGGGACGAAAUUUGACGGUACCUGAGGAAUAAGCUCCGGCUAACUACGUGCCAGCCGCAGC